RNAcentral lists this ribosomal RNA (1522 nucleotides) under Salmonella enterica subsp. enterica serovar Infantis. Its description in RNAcentral is "bacterial SSU rRNA". It matches the Rfam family "Bacterial small subunit ribosomal RNA". RNAcentral also lists the same sequence under 6 other names. Lineage: Bacteria; Pseudomonadati; Pseudomonadota; Gammaproteobacteria; Enterobacterales; Enterobacteriaceae. The record is from RNAcentral.
AGAGUUUGAUCAUGGCUCAGAUUGAACGCUGGCGGCAGGCCUAACACAUGCAAGUCGAACGGUAACAGGAAGCAGCUUGCUGCUUUGCUGACGAGUGGCGGACGGGUGAGUAAUGUCUGGGAAACUGCCUGAUGGAGGGGGAUAACUACUGGAAACGGUGGCUAAUACCGCAUAACGUCGCAAGACCAAAGAGGGGGACCUUCGGGCCUCUUGCCAUCAGAUGUGCCCAGAUGGGAUUAGCUUGUUGGUGAGGUAACGGCUCACCAAGGCGACGAUCCCUAGCUGGUCUGAGAGGAUGACCAGCCACACUGGAACUGAGACACGGUCCAGACUCCUACGGGAGGCAGCAGUGGGGAAUAUUGCACAAUGGGCGCAAGCCUGAUGCAGCCAUGCCGCGUGUAUGAAGAAGGCCUUCGGGUUGUAAAGUACUUUCAGCGGGGAGGAAGGUGUUGUGGUUAAUAACCGCAGCAAUUGACGUUACCCGCAGAAGAAGCACCGGCUAACUCCGUGCCAGCAGCCGCGGUAAUACGGAGGGUGCAAGCGUUAAUCGGAAUUACUGGGCGUAAAGCGCACGCAGGCGGUCUGUCAAGUCGGAUGUGAAAUCCCCGGGCUCAACCUGGGAACUGCAUUCGAAACUGGCAGGCUUGAGUCUUGUAGAGGGGGGUAGAAUUCCAGGUGUAGCGGUGAAAUGCGUAGAGAUCUGGAGGAAUACCGGUGGCGAAGGCGGCCCCCUGGACAAAGACUGACGCUCAGGUGCGAAAGCGUGGGGAGCAAACAGGAUUAGAUACCCUGGUAGUCCACGCCGUAAACGAUGUCUACUUGGAGGUUGUGCCCUUGAGGCGUGGCUUCCGGAGCUAACGCGUUAAGUAGACCGCCUGGGGAGUACGGCCGCAAGGUUAAAACUCAAAUGAAUUGACGGGGGCCCGCACAAGCGGUGGAGCAUGUGGUUUAAUUCGAUGCAACGCGAAGAACCUUACCUGGUCUUGACAUCCACAGAAGAAUCCAGAGAUGGAUUUGUGCCUUCGGGAACUGUGAGACAGGUGCUGCAUGGCUGUCGUCAGCUCGUGUUGUGAAAUGUUGGGUUAAGUCCCGCAACGAGCGCAACCCUUAUCCUUUGUUGCCAGCGGUCCGGCCGGGAACUCAAAGGAGACUGCCAGUGAUAAACUGGAGGAAGGUGGGGAUGACGUCAAGUCAUCAUGGCCCUUACGACCAGGGCUACACACGUGCUACAAUGGCGCAUACAAAGAGAAGCGACCUCGCGAGAGCAAGCGGACCUCAUAAAGUGCGUCGUAGUCCGGAUUGGAGUCUGCAACUCGACUCCAUGAAGUCGGAAUCGCUAGUAAUCGUGGAUCAGAAUGCCACGGUGAAUACGUUCCCGGGCCUUGUACACACCGCCCGUCACACCAUGGGAGUGGGUUGCAAAAGAAGUAGGUAGCUUAACCUUCGGGAGGGCGCUUACCACUUUGUGAUUCAUGACUGGGGUGAAGUCGUAACAAGGUAACCGUAGGGGAACCUGCGGUUG